UGUCGUGAGAUGUUGGGUUAAGUCCGCAACGAGCGCAACCCUACGUUUAGUUGCUAACGCGUGAAGGCGAGCACUCUAGACGAACUGCCGUUGACAAAACGGAGGAAGGUGGGGAUGACGUCAAAUCAUCAUGCCCCUUAUGUUCUGGGCUACACACGUGCUACAAUGGCCGGUACAGACGGACGCAAAGCCGCGAGGUGGAGCAAAUCCUAAAAAGCCGGUCUCAGUUCGGAUUGCAGGCUGCAAUUCGCCUGCAUGAAGUCGGAAUCGCUAGUAAUCGCAGGUCAGCAUACUGCGGUGAAUACGUUCCCGGGCCUU
Molecule: ribosomal RNA, 318 nt
Filed under: uncultured Pelotomaculum sp.
Lineage: Bacteria; Bacillati; Bacillota; Clostridia; Eubacteriales; Desulfotomaculaceae
Description: bacterial SSU rRNA
Rfam family: Bacterial small subunit ribosomal RNA
Source: RNAcentral